This 72-nucleotide transfer RNA is filed under the name Millerozyma farinosa. RNAcentral describes it as "transfer RNA-Ala". It matches the Rfam family "tRNA". From Rfam's summary of the family: Transfer RNA (tRNA) molecules are approximately 80 nucleotides in length. Their secondary structure includes four short double-helical elements and three loops (D, anti-codon, and T loops). Further hydrogen bonds mediate the characteristic L-shaped molecular structure. tRNAs have two regions of fundamental functional importance: the anti-codon, which is responsible for specific mRNA codon recognition, and the 3' end, to which the tRNAs corresponding amino acid is attached (by aminoacyl-tRNA synthetases). tRNAs cope with the degeneracy of the genetic code in two manners: having more than one tRNA (with a specific anti-codon) for a particular amino acid; and 'wobble' base-pairing, i.e. permitting non-standard base-pairing at the 3rd anti-codon position. The record is from RNAcentral. Lineage: Eukaryota; Fungi; Ascomycota; Pichiomycetes; Serinales; Debaryomycetaceae.
GGGAUUAUAGAUUAAUUGGUAAAUCGUUCGCUUUGCAUGUGAAAAAUAUCGGUUCAAUUCCGAUUAGUUCCA